RNAcentral lists this ribosomal RNA (484 nucleotides) under uncultured bacterium. RNAcentral describes it as "partial 16S ribosomal RNA". It matches the Rfam family "Bacterial small subunit ribosomal RNA", at positions 28 to 523 of the family's 1533-position model. The record is from RNAcentral.
GACGAACGCUGGCGGCGUGCUUAACACAUGCAAGUCGAACGAUGAAGCCGGAGCUUGCUCUGGUGAAUUAGUGGCGAACGGGUGAGUAACACGUGAGUAACCUGCCCUUGACUCUGGGAUAACUGCGGGAAACUGUAGCUAAUACCGGAUACGACCCUCGGAGGCAUCUCCUGGGGGUGGAAAGAAUUUCGGUCAAGGAUGGACUCGCGGCCUAUCAGCUAGUUGGUGAGGUAAAGGCUCACCAAGGCGACGACGGGUAGCCGGCCUGAGAGGGUGACCGGCCACACUGGGACUGAGACACGGCCCAGACUCCUACGGGAGGCAGCAGUGGGGAAUAUUGCACAAUGGGCGCAAGCCUGAUGCAGCAACGCCGCGUGAGGGAUGACGGCCUUCGGGUUGUAAGCCUCUUUUAGCAGGGAAGAAGCGAGAGUGACGGUACCUGCAGAAAAAGCACCGGCUAACUACGUGCCAGCCGCCGCGGUAA